This 501-nucleotide ribosomal RNA is filed under the name uncultured bacterium. Its description in RNAcentral is "partial 16S ribosomal RNA". It matches the Rfam family "Bacterial small subunit ribosomal RNA", at positions 29 to 523 of the family's 1533-position model. The record is from RNAcentral.
AUUGAACGCUGGCGGCAUGCCUUACACAUGCAAGUCGAACGGCAGCAUGGGUGCUUGCACCUGAUGGCGAGUGGCGAACGGGUGAGUAAUGCAUCGGAACGUACCCGGAAGUGGGGGAUAACGCAGCGAAAGCUGUGCUAAUACCGCAUACGCCCUGGGGGGGAAAGCGGGGGAUCGAAAGACCUCGCGCGAUUAGAGCGGCCGAUGCCUGAUUAGCUUGUUGGGGGGGUAAAAGCCCCCAAGGGCGACGAUCAGUAGCUGGUCUGAGAGGAGGACAAGCCACAUUGGGACUGGAACACGGCCCAAACGCCUACGGGAGGAAGCAGUGGGGAAUUUUGGAAAAUGGGGGAAACCCUGAUCCAGCAAUGCCGCGUGAGUGAAGAAGGCCUUCGGGUUGUAAAGCUCUUUUGUCAGGGAAGAAACACCGGCUCUAACACAGUCCGGGAAUGACGGUACCUGAAGAAUAAGCACCGGCUAACUACGUGCCAGCCGCCGCCGUAA